CAGCAUUGUAGUUUAAGUUUUUAGAAUCUUAAUUUUGGGGAUUAGGGGUCUCUUGUUUGGAGUUGGCUGG
This 70-nucleotide transfer RNA is filed under the name Fasciolopsis buskii. RNAcentral describes it as "Fasciolopsis buski tRNA-Pro". Lineage: Eukaryota; Metazoa; Platyhelminthes; Trematoda; Plagiorchiida; Fasciolidae. The record is from RNAcentral.